This 232-nucleotide ribosomal RNA is filed under the name uncultured bacterium. Its description in RNAcentral is "partial 16S ribosomal RNA". It matches the Rfam family "Bacterial small subunit ribosomal RNA", at positions 118 to 347 of the family's 1533-position model. The record is from RNAcentral.
UGAGGAACAUGACCUUCGGCGGGGGAUAGCCGGCCCAACGGCCGGGUAAUACCGCGUACGACCACUUGAGGACAUCCUCGGGUGGUGAAAGCAGCAAUGCGCCGAUGAAGUGCCUCGCGGCCUAUCAGCUAGUUGGUGAGGUAACGGCUCACCAAGGCGACGACGGGUAGCUGGUCUGAGAGGAUGGCCAGCCACAGUUGGGACUGAGACACGGCCCAGCCUCCGUAGGGAG